GCUGGCGGUAGGCCUAACACAUGCAAGUCGAACGGCAGCACAGAGGAGCUUGCUCCUUGGGUGGCGAGUGGCGGACGGGUGAGGAAUACAUCGGAAUCUACUCUGUCGUGGGGGAUAACGUAGGGAAACUUACGCUAAUACCGCAUACGACCUACGGGUGAAAGCAGGGGAUCUUCGGACCUUGCGCGAUUGAAUGAGCCGAUGUCGGAUUAGCUAGUUGGCGGGGUAAAGGCCCACCAAGGCGACGAUCCGUAGCUGGUCUGAGAGGAUGAUCAGCCACACUGGAACUGAGACACGGUCCAGACUCCUACGGGAGGCAGCAGUGGGGAAUAUUGGACAAUGGGCGCAAGCCUGAUCCAGCCAUACCGCGUGGGUGAAGAAGGCCUUCGGGUUGUAAAGCCCUUUUGUUGGGAAAGAAAUCCAGCUGGCUAAUACCCGGUUGGGAUGACGGUACCCAAAGAAUAAGCACCGGCUAACUUCGUGCCAGCAGCCGCGGUAAUACGAAGGGUGCAAGCGUUACUCGGAAUUACUGGGCGUAAAGCGUGCGUAGGUGGUCGUUUAAGUCCGUUGUGAAAGCCCUGGGCUCAACCUGGGAACUGCAGUGGAUACUGGGCGACUAGAGUGUGGUAGAGGGUAGCGGAAUUCCUGGUGUAGCAGUGAAA
RNAcentral lists this ribosomal RNA (662 nucleotides) under Stenotrophomonas maltophilia. RNAcentral's name for it is "bacterial SSU rRNA". It matches the Rfam family "Bacterial small subunit ribosomal RNA", at positions 35 to 686 of the family's 1533-position model. The record is from RNAcentral. Lineage: Bacteria; Pseudomonadati; Pseudomonadota; Gammaproteobacteria; Lysobacterales; Lysobacteraceae.